CCUACGGGGUGCUGCAGUGAGGAAUAUUGGUCAAUGGACGAGAGUCUGAACCAGCCAAGUAGCGUGAAGGAUGACUGCCCUAUGGGUUGUAAACUUCUUUUAUAUGGGAAUAAAAUGUUCCACGUGUGGGAUUUUGUAUGUACCAUAUGAAUAAGGAUCGGCUAACUCCGUGCCAGCAGCCGCGGUAAUACGGAGGAUCCGAGCGUUAUCCGGAUUUAUUGGGUUUAAAGGGUGCGUAGGUGGAUUGUUAAGUCAGUUGUGAAAGUUUGCGGCUCAACCGUAAAAUUGCAGUUGAAACUGGCAGUCUUGAGUGCAGUAGAGGUGGGCGGAAUUCGUGGUGUAGCGGUGAAAUGCUUAGAUAUCACGAAGAACUCCGAUUGCGAAGGCAGUUCACUGGACUGCAACUGACGCUGAGGCACGAAAGUGUGGGUAUCAAACAGGAUUAGAUACCCUGGUAGUC
RNAcentral lists this ribosomal RNA (460 nucleotides) under uncultured bacterium. Its description in RNAcentral is "partial 16S ribosomal RNA". It matches the Rfam family "Bacterial small subunit ribosomal RNA", at positions 338 to 795 of the family's 1533-position model. The record is from RNAcentral.